Molecule: non-coding RNA, 72 nt
Organism: Salmo salar (Atlantic salmon)
Lineage: Eukaryota; Metazoa; Chordata; Actinopteri; Salmoniformes; Salmonidae
Source: Rfam
CUCCCUGUGGCUCAGUUGGUAGAGCAUGGUGUUUGCAACGCCAGGGUUGUGGGUUUGAUUCCCACGGGGGGC